Molecule: long non-coding RNA, 204 nt
Filed under: Physcomitrium patens
Lineage: Eukaryota; Viridiplantae; Streptophyta; Bryopsida; Funariales; Funariaceae
Description: long non-coding RNA (PPAT_LNC006593)
Source: RNAcentral
ACCUUAACUAAAUCUUAAGUAAUAUCCUAAUUAAAUCCUAAUUAAAAUCUUAAUGAAUCUUAAUCAAAUCCUAGAUCAAAUCUUAAUGAAAUUCUAAAUCUUAAUGAAAUUUUAAUCAAAUUCUAAAUCCUAAAUCAAUCCUAAUAAAAUCCUAAAUCAACUUAAUUAAAUUCUAAAUCUUAACCAAAUCUUAACCAAAUCCUA